UAGCAUGGAAUAAUAGAAUAGGACUUUGGUUCUAUUUUGUUGGUUCUAGGACCGAAGUAAUGAUUAAUAGAGAUAGUUGGGGGCAUUAGUAUUUAAUUGUCAGAGGUGAAAUUCUUGGAUUUAUGAAAGACUAACUUCUGCGAAAGCAUUUGCCAAGGAUGUUUUCACUAAUCAAGAACGGAAGUUAGGGGAUCGAAGACGAUCAGAUACCGUCGUAGUCUUAACCAUAAACUAUGCCGACUAGGGAUCGGACGACGUUAACUUAUUGACUCGUUCGACACCUUAUGAGAAAUCAAAGUUUUUGGGUUCCGGGGGGAGUAUGGUCGCAAGGCUGAAACUUAAAGGAAUUGACGGAAGGGCACCACCAGGAGUGGAGCCUGCGGCUUAAUUUGACUCAACACGGGGAAACUCACCAGGUCCAGACAAAAUAAGGAUUGACAGAUUGAGAGCUCUUUCUUGAUCUUUUGGAUGGUGGUGCAUGGCCGUUCUUAGUUGGUGGAGUGAUUUGUCUGCUUAAUUGCGAUAACGAACGAGACCUCGGCCCUUAAAUAGCCCGGUCCGCAUUUGCGGGCCGUGGCUUCUUAGGGGGACUAUCGGCUCAAGCCGAUGGAAGUGCGCGGCAAUAACAGGUCUGUGAUGCCCUUAGAUGUUCUGGGCCGCACGCGCGCUACACUGACAGGGCCAGCGAGUAUCACCUUGGCCGAGAGGUCUGGGUAAUCUUGUUAGACCCUGUCGUGCUGGGGAUAGAGCAUUGCAAU
Molecule: ribosomal RNA, 758 nt
Filed under: uncultured eukaryote
Lineage: Eukaryota
Description: SSU rRNA
Rfam family: Eukaryotic small subunit ribosomal RNA
Source: RNAcentral